UACGUAGGGUCCGAGCGUUGUCCGGAAUUAUUGGGCGUAAAGAGCUCGUAGGCGGUCUGUCGCGUCGGAUGUGAAAAUCCAGGGCUCAACCCUGGACCUGCAUUCGAUACGGGCAGACUAGAGUUCGGCAGGGGAGACUGGAAUUCCUGGUGUAGCGGUGAAAUGCGCAGAUAUCAGGAGGAACACCGGUGGCGAAGGCGGGUCUCUGGGCCGUAACUGACGCUGAGGAGCGAAAGCGUGGGGAGCGAACAGG
This 253-nucleotide ribosomal RNA is filed under the name uncultured bacterium. RNAcentral's name for it is "partial 16S ribosomal RNA". It matches the Rfam family "Bacterial small subunit ribosomal RNA", at positions 524 to 776 of the family's 1533-position model. The record is from RNAcentral.